AUUAACACUAACUUUGGCCAGUAUUUGUGACCAAGUGGCUACUAAAAAAGACUGGACAUACCCCAUUUGAAAUGCCUUGGGUUGUCUACUUUUGCAAAUGGUAUGCCAUCAUGGGGGUAAUUCUCAUUCCUGGGCUACCAUACUGUCUCAAAGGCAACAACCAAUCUGGCGAAUUUCAAUGUGAGAAAACAAAAAAAUGUAACAUGCUUUUUUUGACCCUGUAACUUCCCAAAACACCCUAAAACCUGUACAUAGGGGGUACUGUUUUACACAUGAGACAUCGCUUAAUACAAAUAUGUGUAUUUUAUUGCAGUAAAAGCAAGCAGUAUUAUGACACUCACAUUUAAAAUGAGCUGCAGUAGUGAGUGGUCUAGUGGUUAG
Pelobates cultripes (western spadefoot toad) is the source of this 381-nucleotide non-coding RNA. Lineage: Eukaryota; Metazoa; Chordata; Amphibia; Anura; Pelobatidae. The record is from the annotation of a GenBank genome assembly.